GUUACUUAAGAACUCUUUGUGUCCGUCCUUCUAAUGGCACCAAUGCCUCCCAUCAAGCCUUAAACCUCACCUAAAUUAUGUCAUUGGGCUUUUUCAUCCAUAAAUGAGCAUACCAGGUGCCAAGGGAAUCAAUAUGCCCUUUCACAUGCCUUAGACCAGUGUCCAAAGAAAGAUAAAAUGUCAUUCUAUAAAAGCUUUCUCCCAGCAUUUCUAUUCCUUUACAUUUUGUGCCAUAUACAACUAUGGUUUUUUAAUGAUCUUAUUUCUGACAGCUGUUUUUCUUCAGAACAUCAACAGCUUCUUUCCUAAACUAGUUUUAGUAUGAGUUCCAUUUCUAAUUAGCUCAAAUUAAAGUCCUAGAGAGCAGCGAGGUAAUAUUUAAACCCUCAGGCUAAAAUUUCGGAGUAGGUGCAGAAUGUUGACUCUAAAUGAGUUUUUCCUGUGACAUAACACGCAUGAAAGCAGGAUUUCUUUCAUGUGUGAAAUGUCUUAAAUCAGACUUACCCUUUGUGAUUCUCUUUUAGCUUUAAAUGUCAUUUAAGAAAAAAAAAGAAAAGAAAAUUAAGCAUGACAUUCCCCAAUAUCCUCUGCUCACUGUGUUAUAAUCCCUAUCACUCCCCAAGUGAAUUGGAGAGAGUGAAGACACAAUGAACAGAAACUUCCCUGAUGCUACACAGAGGAAGUGUUCUCCAGGACCAUACAGCCUCCACCAUGUCCAUCUACGAAGGGCUGUGGCAAGCCAUAUACACAAAGAUGCCUGUUUCCUGUCUUCUCGGUUAAAAACAAAAACAAAACACAAAGCCAAGCUGCCAUGGGUUGCAGAAUGCCAGUCCUUAAGUAGUGUUGUCCAUGGGUAAACAGGUGACGGAUAAGGGCAAUUUCAAGAAAUAACAAACUCAAGGCAUGAAUGUGGUUAUCCAAACAUCAAGGGACUCCUUCAUUUGCAUUUGGAUAAUUGUGCAGUUAUAUGAUUUGUUACAUGGAGACCAGAUGGAAGUAAGAGAGCUCAUCCUCAACGUCCUGUACCUCUGGAAGUCUUUACACACAUGCUGGAGAGAUGGAUGAGAGUUCAUGAGCAUCAAACCACCAUGGAUUUCAUAAUCAAUUCCUAAUAUCUGAAUAAGUGCCGAAAAGUCACAGGCAUCUAGAAGUGUGGCCCAAGUCUUGUUCUUCAAUCGGCCCACCCAUUAUCCCUAUGUAUCUCGAUUUUGUUAUCUAAAAGAUCACAUGAUGGAGGAUGUAAGCAAGUAGCACAGCCAAGACCCAGUUUACAGUGUCUAGUACCUAACAGACUCUUGACACGUUUCACUUGCCCUUGAGUCAAUCUUUCCAUGUCACUGAAUAUUCUUCCACAACAUGAUUUUAAUGGAUAUAGUCGUCCAUUGUUUAAAUGUACCAUUAUUGACCAAUGUAAAAAUGUUCUUUUACCUCAAAUUUUUAUAUGUAAAACAAAAACAUGUUUGAGGACUAAACCCACACUGUAGUAUAAAUUAAACUGGAUGUAGGCCAGGCAUGGUGAGUCACACCUAUAGUCCCAGCACUUUGGGAAACCAAGACAGGAGGAUGGCUUGAAGCCAGGAGCUCAAGAGCAGCCUGGGCAAUACAGCAAGACCUCAUCUCUAC
Molecule: long non-coding RNA, 1623 nt
Filed under: Homo sapiens (human)
Lineage: Eukaryota; Metazoa; Chordata; Mammalia; Primates; Hominidae
Description: HSALNT0149816
Source: RNAcentral